This 424-nucleotide ribosomal RNA is filed under the name uncultured bacterium. RNAcentral describes it as "bacterial SSU rRNA". It matches the Rfam family "Bacterial small subunit ribosomal RNA", at positions 355 to 776 of the family's 1533-position model. The record is from RNAcentral.
UGAGGAAUAUUGCGCAAUGGAGGCAACUCUGACGCAGCCAUGCCGCGUGCAGGAAGACGGCCCUACGGGUUGUAAACUGCUUUUAACCGGGAAGAAACCCCUCGACGUGUCGAGGGUUGACGGUACCGGAGGAAUAAGCACCGGCUAACUUCGUGCCAGCAGCCGCGGUAAUACGAAGGGUGCAAGCGUUAUCCGGAUUCAUUGGGUUUAAAGGGUGCGUAGGCGGGGCGAUAAGUCAGUGGUGAAAUCCUGCAGCUUAACUGUAGCAUUGCCAUUGAUACUGUCGUCCUUGAGUACGCUUGACGUGGGCGGAAUGUGCCGUGUAGCGGUGAAAUGCUUAGAUAUGGCACAGAACACCAAUUGCGAAGGCAGCUCACGAAGGCGAAACUGACGCUGAGGCACGAAAGCGUGGGGAUCGAACAGG